CGAUUGAUCAGUAGUUAUAUGGUGUUGUUCCCUUGUGAGGUUUCUUCAUGAACAGUAUAGUUUGCCUUGUGUUAGCCAGUCAGAGUAUCUGGCUCAUUUGUGCAGCCAGCUAGCAUAGCUGGCAUUUAUACAGUGUUGUUAAAUAUUAUAUCCAUAGGUAUGGAUCAUAUCAUAAGUAGUUUUUUUGGAGGGUUAUAUAGAUUAGAGGUUAUUUCUGUUGCUUUGUAUGGUGCGCCAUAACAUAUUGGUAAUAUUUCUCUCCCAUUAAUACUGAACCUACAUUCACUUGUUCAAAACUGAAGAUGACAUUACACGUUUGUAUGGCAGGACUAAAGAAAGAGAAUUUGAAAGGACCAGACCAGGAUUUAGGGCUAGAAUAUGCUAUUGAUUUUUGAAAGCUGCACCACAAGCUAGGGAAGCCUCCUUAUCAUCCUUGAUUGGUGAAUUGGGAAAUGCUAAGAAAGAUACACCAAAUUACUGCCUUGUAGCUGAGAUUGGAGAAUUAGCGUUAGAACCUAAACCCAAAAUUGAUGACCAGAUGAGGGAGGAGGCGGAACCAGAGGAGUAGGAGAGACAGAAACAGUUCCAGGAUUUUACUAAAUCAUAAUGGAUUCAUGAUUUUCUUUAACACACUCCCAAAUAGCAGCAAACAUUUUUAACAUAACAUAAACUUCAAUACAAAAAUAUUUAUGAAAAUACUAGUGAUAUCACACCCAUCACAUGUCACUGGUAAGAAAAAGGCUGAACAAACCUUCCGUAGUCCUCUUUCUUUGAUGCUGGAACCAAUUGAAAUCCAAACAUAACUGAAACAAAAAUCAACAUUGUCAAAUCCAAAUGCAGUAACAAAUGCUUUUUGUCCGCUUGGAAUGCCCAGGGGACAACACACAGUUCAUUGAUUGGCUGCAGGUGGAGCAGGUUUUGGGGGGGCGGCACGCCACACAACCAGAACACAACGGACCACAGAGACCACUGUGGACACACAAUACAAUGAUGAGAUGCAGAUACCGAAAUGGGUCCACAAGGACCACACCCACCCAAUAGGAGGGUGGGCAGAUAACCUACCAACCAGAUGGAACAACCACUAGAACUUAGAUGCUUAGAUGGGGAGGGAGGUGGAGAAAGAGCAGGGGAGGCAACAGAGCUACAAGCGAGUCAGGACAUAGAGAUUAAACACCACGUACUGCGCAGUUACACCUGGGCCCCGACAUAUAGGGCCCCCCCGACAUGUAACUUAAGGGAACACGGCUCCUCCAGGAUCACACUAGACUCACCAGGGAUGACAAUAUGCACAUACAUGAGGAACAAACAGGACCAAGAGGCAGGGAGACCUGGCAAUACAUUCCUGAGGCCCCGAAGGCACCCACACACUCAGAGACAUACAAGCCCCAAGAUUACACUUGGCAAAUACACUAAGGACCUACAACCAAUGCCUGACAGUCAGGGGAACACACACCGCAACCCAAGGGAGACCUACAACUCGCACACCUAAGCCGAACAGACGUUAAAACUACACACAGACCACACACACAAAAUGAAUCUCCCUGACACAAAUAAGGACACAGACAGGCCCUGGGUAAUUGAAAGCUCUAUUCCAGGCCCGCGACCAACGGAGCCCGCGACAAAGAGCAGUCCUAUUCCCCGCUGCAUACACAGGGGGAAAAAACAGGAUUGAUCUCUGAGUAUGCAUCCAAAUAGUCACCACAUACAAAGAGACACCGAAGACAUGACUCUAGAUACCUUGAUAUGCAUGCACAAAUGUCAAGCAAUAACUGUCUGCACCCCCUGCCCCAUCGAUAUUAAACGAUACCUAGGACCUGUGAGGCCAAUUGGCACAUGUAUCCCUUACAGACACUCUCAAACGGACCUGUCAGGGUAAUGCUAGCACGAGUACCAAUAGAGGGUCAGAUCAGCACGCCCAUACUCUGUAGUUUGCAAUGCCUGAAAAACAACAUGCGAGAGUAGAUGUAGAUAGACAUCAACCGCAGACAGAUAGGUCAUAUUGAAAGUGCCUCUCAUUUGUUAAAGGACCACUAUAGUGCCAGGAAAACAUACUCCCGUGGCGCUGAGGGGGGAGGAAGGGGUUAAACUUACCUAUUUCUCCAGAGCUCUCCUCCUCCUCUCCUCCUCGUCGGCUGAAUGCGCAUGCGCGGCAGGACCUGCGUGCACAUUCAGCCAGUCUCAUAGGAAAGCAUUUACAAUGCUUUCCUAUGGACGCUGGCGUCUUCUCACUGUGAUUUUCACAGUGAGAAGCACGCAAGCGCCUCUAACGGCUGUCAAGAGACAGCCACUCGAGGCUGGAUUAACCCAUUUAUAUACAUAGCAUUUUCUCUGAAACUGCUAUGUUUAUAAAAAAAAAGGGUUAACCCUAGCUGGACCUGGCACCCAGACCACUUCAUUAAGCUGAAGUGGUCUGGGUGCCUAUAGUGGUCCUUUAGUGUGAAUCGAUGCUGCACAAAUUUGUUUCAUAUGUUUGGCGCUUAGUUUGCCUCGAGACCUGCGUGUCUCAUUCUCUAUUGUUAUAUCGGAGAUCUGCGUAUCUCGACCGAUCAAUCAUUAUGUUUUAAAUCUGAAACCUGCGCGUUUCUUUGCACUCUACUUUUUUGAAACCCUG
This 2611-nucleotide long non-coding RNA is filed under the name Pelobates cultripes (western spadefoot toad). The record is from RNAcentral. Lineage: Eukaryota; Metazoa; Chordata; Amphibia; Anura; Pelobatidae.